This 437-nucleotide long non-coding RNA is filed under the name Anser cygnoides (Swan goose). RNAcentral describes it as "lncRNA (ENSACDG00005006407.1)". Lineage: Eukaryota; Metazoa; Chordata; Aves; Anseriformes; Anatidae. The record is from RNAcentral.
AUGUGGACAGAGGUUCCAUUUCAGGGAAAUAUUAAAGCAGAAAUUUCAAAGGGACUUCAGAAAAUGCGUAAAGCUCACUGGAAUCAAGUUUGGGAGACAAGUUUCCACAACACAGUCGUUAUUGCUAUUAAAAAGUGAGGAUCACACCUACGCUGUCUGAUUUUGUCCAGUAGCGGUAAGUUUGCAUUGGUGCAGUGCUCACCCAAACAUUUUGACACAUAAUCACUUCCUGGGGAUUGUCCAUUACCUGUUUUGAGGCCAUGGCAUGUAUUGAGUUUAUGCCCUGUGUCUGUGUGCUGUCAGCAAUGAGCUCUCUGUGUUGGGAGCUUUGGCUAAUGUGUAAUGUAACUAGGUGUGCAGGUAGCUAUGCUGAUCUUAAUUAAAAUGCUGCAGUAUCAUCUGAAAGCUCCUUCAGUGUUUUAAGAGAGUAUUGUUGC